AGCUAUCUCCAUGAUGAUUUUCAUUUACCAAAACAUUGAAAUGUUUUCGCAUGCCAAACUAGGUGACCACUAUGACAAAAAGAUAGACUGUGUCCUUCCUCCUACGGUUAAUGCCUUAAUGGCAAAUCCGCGCGCCACCAUUCACAAUUUUUUGAGUAGCAUGUGAGAAAAUAAGAAAUUAAGUAAAUCUGAAAAGAUGAUAGUAUCAUAGUAUUACUCUUGGUUUAAGAACAAAAAAAAGAUGAUAUUACUUCCUCGUUGUGUUUGGACAAAAAUAUGUGUGCAUGGUUGCAUCGGGUUAUGGUAAGAUGAAGUCUUAACACAAAGCAACCGGAGAUGAAUAAUACAACUACAAUAAAUAUAAGAUUAUAGUAAUAAGAAUUCAAAGUCAAAUUAAUAAGGGUGAAUGUUUUUGUACGUCUUUUUUCUUUUAUUUCCCCUUAUGUUUUUGUACGUUUAAGAAUAGGGGAUGGGUUAAUUAGCCUGGUGAAAGACUAUAUUUGUUUAAUGUAGCAAUUGUUUGGACUUUUCAUAAUAGUCAUUGUGGAGGUAAAUAUGAUUGAAUGAUACAAGGGUAUGAAUUGUUCUUACAGUAUACAAGAGUUAAUUUAGACUAUAAUUUUAAAUUACAACGUUCAGUGUCUGGAGUAGAUCAAUGAGAUUCGAUGAUACAUAUUUCAAAA
This 683-nucleotide long non-coding RNA is filed under the name Arabidopsis lyrata. Its description in RNAcentral is "long non-coding RNA (ALYR_LNC002165)". Lineage: Eukaryota; Viridiplantae; Streptophyta; Magnoliopsida; Brassicales; Brassicaceae. The record is from RNAcentral.